UACACACACAUACAGGGCCGCCAUCAGGGCAUGACAACCGUGACAAUUGUCACGGGCCCGGCGGCCCUGGGGGGCCCGGCCGCCCGGGCCCCACGUGGAUCAGCGGAACUGCCGCCGGUGCAUCUGCACCGGGGCCCACACGCUGAUGGGGCCCAUCAGGUUGCCCCAAUCAUUUAGGGCCACCCAAUGGGCCCUAUUAUCUUCAGGGGCCCGUUUAGCGCUGUAAUAGCGCGACCGGGCCCCUUUAAAAAAAAAAAUGCAGCCGGAAGCAAGUGCUGCUGGGAGGAAGUGACGUCCGG
Molecule: non-coding RNA, 299 nt
Organism: Pelobates cultripes (western spadefoot toad)
Lineage: Eukaryota; Metazoa; Chordata; Amphibia; Anura; Pelobatidae
Source: the annotation of a GenBank genome assembly